UAUAUGAUACAGAGAAGAUUAGUAUAGCCCUUGUAUAAGAAUGAUAUACACAUUCAAGAAGUGCUUCUUAUUUAU
This is a non-coding RNA of Fukomys damarensis (Damara mole-rat), 75 nucleotides long. Lineage: Eukaryota; Metazoa; Chordata; Mammalia; Rodentia; Bathyergidae. The record is from Rfam.